Molecule: long non-coding RNA, 1103 nt
Filed under: Canis lupus familiaris (dog)
Lineage: Eukaryota; Metazoa; Chordata; Mammalia; Carnivora; Canidae
Description: lncRNA (ENSCAFG00040002025.1)
Source: RNAcentral
AUGUUUUGGAUAUUAACUCUUACUAGUAUAUUAUCUGAAAAUAUCUUUUCCCAUAUAGUCAAUUGCCUUUUUGUUUUAUUGAUGGUUUCUUUCACUGUGCAAAAGCUUUUUUUUCUUAAAGAUUUUAUUUAUUCAUUCAUUUAUGAAAGACAAAUUUGGCAAUUUUUAUAUCAACUUUCUUUAGAAGCCAAGGACAUAACAUUAUAUCUUAAUUCAUUAAGGCAUUUCUGAAGGAAGCUGAGAUAAUUUGGUUUGAAUACACAGCUUCUCAAUAGCACAACCUAAUAAUGCAGGGAUAAAGUUAGAAAUUCUAAAAAUUGUGUUUAUUUAAAAAAUAUCUUAUUUUAAAAAUAUUUUAUUUUUAUUUAUUCAUGAGAGACACAGAGAGAGAGAGAGGCAGAGGGAGAAGCAGGCUCCCUGUGGGGAGCCCAAUUUGGGGCUCUAUCCCAGGACCCUGGGAUCAUGACCUGAGCCACAGGUAGAUGCUCAACCACUGAGCCACCCAGGUGCCAAAUUGUGUGUAUUUAAAAUGACCUUUAAGUUUAUUGUGGGGGCGGCUCAUUGGUUGAGCAUCUACCUCUGGCUCAAGUCAUGAUCCUGGGGUCCUGGGAUCUAGUCCCACAUUGGGCUCCUCACAGGGAGCCUGCUUCUCCCUCUGCCUAUGUCUCUGACUCUCUCUCUGUGUCUAUCAUGAAUAAAUAAAUAAAAUCUUUUAAAAAGUUUGUCAUGAAUAUUAGCUCUCUCAAAUUAUCCUUUGACAAAAUGCUAGGUUGUUAGGUUGAAUACAACCAUCAGUUGAAUUUCAUGCUACUUAUUCCUAUUGCAGAUGAAUUUAUUCUGUAUUUUCCAUGGUUAUGGCACCAGAGUUUCUCAUUGUGAGGACUAAUGUAACACAAUUCUUCUGAGGGUACUGAUUAAAAAAAUGUUUGAAUUUAAAUUUGUGAGUGAUUUUAUCUGCAGUUGAAGGUGCUGCACUGGACAAGGCUUCCUCCAGGCUAUUCAUUUCAUUUAAAUUUUUACCUCAGGUAUCAUGUUCUAGUGGAGAGAGCAUGACUUUGUGGUUCAGACUGAUUAGGGUUUUGAAUCCUGGCUCUGCCAAUUGC